CCGAGUUUACAACUCCCAAACCCAUGUGAACAUACCUGUCUUGUUGCUUCGGCGGCGCCCCUCGGGGCCCGCCAGAGGACCCAAACAAAACUCUUUGCAUUUUGAAUACAGUAUUCUGAGUGACAUGAUUAAAUAAAAUCA
This 141-nucleotide unclassified non-coding RNA is filed under the name uncultured Mariannaea. RNAcentral's name for it is "sequence contains ITS1". Lineage: Eukaryota; Fungi; Ascomycota; Sordariomycetes; Hypocreales; Clavicipitaceae. The record is from RNAcentral.